CUACGGGCGGCACCAGUGAGGAAUUUUGCGCAAUGGGGGAAACCCUGACGCAGCAACGCCGCGUGAGUGAAGAAGGCCCUUGGGUCGUAAAGCUCUGUCAACAGGGAAGAAGUUACUUUGUAUUAAUAGUAUGAGGUAUUGACGGUACCUGUGAAGGAAGCACCGGCUAACUCCGCGCCAGCAGCCGCGGUAAUACGGGGGGUGCAAGCGUUAUUCGGAAUUAUUGGGCGUAAAGGGCACGCAGGCGGUCCUGUCAGUCAGAUGUGAAAGCCCGGGGCUCAACCCCGGACGUGCAUUUGAAACAGCAGGACUUGAGUACGGGAGAGGAAAGGGGAAUUCCUGGUGUAGAGGUGAAAUUCGUAGAUAUCAGGAGGAACACCGGUGGCGAAGGCGCCUUUCUGGACCGAUACUGACGCUGAGGUGCGAAGGCGUGGGUAGCGAACGGGAUUAGAUACCCUUGUAGUC
RNAcentral lists this ribosomal RNA (465 nucleotides) under uncultured bacterium. RNAcentral describes it as "partial 16S ribosomal RNA". It matches the Rfam family "Bacterial small subunit ribosomal RNA", at positions 339 to 795 of the family's 1533-position model. The record is from RNAcentral.